Molecule: transfer RNA, 67 nt
Filed under: Marmota monax (woodchuck)
Lineage: Eukaryota; Metazoa; Chordata; Mammalia; Rodentia; Sciuridae
Description: tRNA.Ala
Source: RNAcentral
GGUUGUGGCUCAGAGGUAGAAUGCUUGCCUAGCAUGCAAGAAGCAGUGGGUUCAAUCCUCAGCACCA